RNAcentral lists this microRNA (22 nucleotides) under Mus musculus (house mouse). RNAcentral describes it as "mmu-miR-363-5p". Its record names the gene mmu-miR-363-5p. Lineage: Eukaryota; Metazoa; Chordata; Mammalia; Rodentia; Muridae. The record is from miRBase by way of RNAcentral.
CAGGUGGAACACGAUGCAAUUU